ACGCCCCGAGACUUCCUCUUCUCAGUGAUGUUUGAGCGAAUGGAUCGUAAAACACUAGUCAAGAAGCUGGCAAAAAAGGAUAUCGAGGAUGUACUGUCAGGAAUCCAAACAGCACGUUGUGGAUCAACGUUUUUUAGAGACCUAGGCGAUAAAGGGGUAAUUUCAUAUACUGAGUAUCUUUUCUUGCUUACGAUCCUCACAAAGCCUCACUCUGGGUUCCAUGUUGCUUUUAAAAUGCUGGAUGCAGAUGGUAAUGAGAUGAUUGAGAGAAAGGAGUUUGUUAAGGUGAGCACGUGCUUGUUGGAUUGUUAAGAAGCACCUGGCGUGGGGCUGGGGAUUUAGCUCAGCGGUAGAGCGCUUACCUAGGAAGCGCAAGGCCCUGGGUUCGGUCCCCAGCUCCGAAAAAAAGAACCAAAAAAAAAAAAGAAGCACCUGGCGCUUGAGUAGUAAUAGUCCACGUCCUUCACAACCUAAACCGUCUUCACUGUUACAUAUGCGACAGCAAAGCGCUUGGACUUCAGAACUGUGUUCUAAUGGCUCCGCAGUUGAGAGCACUUGUAGUUCUCCCAGAGGACAUGGCUUUAGUUCCUGCAUCCCUGUAACAGCUUACACCUCUCUGUAACUCCAGCUUUUGACCACAGCAGCACCAGACCCACUCGGUGCACAAACCUGCACUCGUGCAAAACACUCAUGUAUAUAAGGUAAAACGCAUACAUUUUUAAAAUACUUUCUGAAAUACAGUCUUGGGGACAUUAACAAGUGACUAAAACAUAAGAUUCUAAAAAGAGAAAUGAGUGGCGCAUUUACAUUUUCAUGAUUUUGCUUUCUUGACUUCAAUGUAUAAUUAUAAAGUAAAAAGGGAU
Molecule: long non-coding RNA, 863 nt
Filed under: Rattus norvegicus (Norway rat)
Lineage: Eukaryota; Metazoa; Chordata; Mammalia; Rodentia; Muridae
Description: long non-coding RNA NONRATT010950
Source: RNAcentral